RNAcentral lists this unclassified non-coding RNA (799 nucleotides) under Polistes fuscatus (common paper wasp). RNAcentral's name for it is "uncharacterized LOC122518913, transcript variant X3". The record is from RNAcentral. Lineage: Eukaryota; Metazoa; Arthropoda; Insecta; Hymenoptera; Vespidae.
CAAAAAUGAACUCUGAUCAAUCGACAUUUCAAACAAAACUAUAAAUACGACAAAUGUUAAUUGAACAUUAAAAAAGAAAAAAAAAAAGAAAAGAAGUUUAGAAAAAAUAAAUUUUCGAUAAUCAACACCCGCGUUACAAUAAUGCAACGAAAAUAAUAUUACUAAUAUUUAUUAAUUUUGACGAUUCGACUCUAAUAACGAACAAACAGAAAGAUAAGACAACGACCAGAGAGGAGGAGAAAAAAAAAUGAAAAAGAAAUAGAGGUAGAUUAAAAUGGAAAAAAAUAAGAGGAAAAAAAAUACGUUGAGACGGGCGAUUGUAAUAUAAUUUUCAAUAAACUGCCAAUCAUCGAGUACCUUUGGGGAAUAAAAAAAGAACAACCGAUUGAGUCAACUGCAGGGAAAAGAAAAUUGUUUAUCGCCCUACGUUCUAGAACUGUAGAGAAUUAAAAUUCAGGGAGCUUAACCUUCCUACGGGAUGAUAGACGGGGGAUGAAGAUCCUCGGCUAUAAAAAGGCAGUGUUUACGAGCAGUAUCAGUCAUUUGCUUCGCGGUUUUCCAUCUUCUAUCAUUACCUAUGAAACUGAUUUUCGUGCUCUGUAGCAUGUUUGCAAUCAUAUGGUUACUUCAUGGACAAGAUGCUUCCGUUUCCAGAAUAUCUUUUCAACGUAUACAAAGAAAUCGUCCAAUACACCUCGGAUACGCUAGAAAUGAAAAAACUGGAGACGGGGAUCAUUCAGAUUCGAGUAAACAACUGCAAAACGUAGAUUUUGAUUACGGUUAUAUGAAAUACGGAAAA